This 72-nucleotide transfer RNA is filed under the name Stegodyphus mimosarum. It matches the Rfam family "tRNA". Rfam says of the family: Transfer RNA (tRNA) molecules are approximately 80 nucleotides in length. Their secondary structure includes four short double-helical elements and three loops (D, anti-codon, and T loops). Lineage: Eukaryota; Metazoa; Arthropoda; Arachnida; Araneae; Eresidae. The record is from Rfam by way of RNAcentral.
GCUUUCGUAGUGUAGUGGUCAGCACGCUCGACACCUAACCGAGAGGUUCGUGGUUCAAUUCCGGCGAAAGCG